AGCCGGCCACCUGGCCCGUCCCUGACGCUGAGGCGCGAAAGCGUGGGGAGCGAACCGGAUUAGAUACCCCGGGUAGUCCACGCCCUAAACGAUGCGCACUAGGUAUGGGGGGGCUGACCACGCUCUCCGUGCCGAAGCUAACGCGUUAAGUGCGCCGCCUGGGUAGUACGGCCGCAAGGCUGAAACUCAAAGGAAUUGGCGGGGGCCCGCACAAGCAGCGGAGCGUGUGGUUUAAUUCGAUGCAAAACGAAGAACCUUACCCGGGCUUGACAUGCCGGUGGUACCGACCCGAAAGGGAAGGGACCCCGCAAGGGGAGCCGGCACAGGUGCUGCAUGGCUGUCGUCAGCUCGUGCCGUGAGGUGUCGGGUUAAGUCCCGCAACGAGCGCAACCCCUGCCCCUAGUUACACGUGUCUAGGGGGACUGCCGGCGACAAGCCGGAGGAAGGUGGGGAUGACGUCAAGUCAGCAUGGCCUUGAUGCCCGGGGCUACACACACGCUACAAUGCCCGGUACAAUGGGUUGCCAACCCGCGAGGGGGAGCCAAUCCCAUCAAAGCCGGGCUCAGUUGGGAUUGCAGGCUGCAACCCGCCUGCAUGAACGCGGAGUUGCUAGUAACCGCCGGUCAGCCAUACGGCGGUGAAUACGUUCCCGGGCCUUGCACACACCGCCCGUCACGUCAUGGGAGUCGGCAACGCCUGAAGCCGGUGGCCCAACCCUCCCCCUCCCAGGGCCCCUC
This 737-nucleotide ribosomal RNA is filed under the name uncultured bacterium. RNAcentral's name for it is "bacterial SSU rRNA". It matches the Rfam family "Bacterial small subunit ribosomal RNA", at positions 719 to 1456 of the family's 1533-position model. The record is from RNAcentral.